Molecule: ribosomal RNA, 411 nt
Filed under: Staphylococcus aureus
Lineage: Bacteria; Bacillati; Bacillota; Bacilli; Caryophanales; Staphylococcaceae
Description: bacterial SSU rRNA
Rfam family: Bacterial small subunit ribosomal RNA
Source: RNAcentral
GAACUGAAGAGUUUGAUCAUGGCUCAGAUUGAACGCUGGCGGCAGGCCUAACACAUGCAAGUCGAGCGGAUGACGGGAGCUUGCUCCUUGAUUCAGCGGCGGACGGGUGAGUAAUGCCUAGGAAUCUGCCUGGUAGUGGGGGACAACGUUUCGAAAGGAACGCUAAUACCGCAUACGUCCUACGGGAGAAAGCAGGGGACCUUCGGGCCUUGCGCUAUCAGAUGAGCCUAGGUCGGAUUAGCUUGUUGGUGAGGUAAUGGCUCACCAAGGCGACGAUCCGUAACUGGUCUGAGAGGAUGAUCAGUCACACUGGAACUGAGACACGGUCCAGACUCCUACGGGAGGCAGCAGUGGGGAAUAUUGGACAAUGGGCGAAAGCCUGAUCCAGCCAUGCCGCGUGUGUGAAGAAGG